AGCUCGCUGGCAGAGACUUUCUGGUGAAGUCAGACAGCAAGUCUUUGCCAGGGAGCUGC
RNAcentral lists this microRNA precursor (59 nucleotides) under Anolis carolinensis (green anole). RNAcentral's name for it is "Aca-Mir-5436_pre stem-loop". Lineage: Eukaryota; Metazoa; Chordata; Lepidosauria; Squamata; Anolidae. The record is from RNAcentral.